AGCACACAAGUGUAUAUUGAGGUGACUCAUUCUCUCUACUAUUACAAUGUCACACAAAUUAACUUUGCCUUUCAUUUAACCACAAUCAAUCAUACUCACAAGCAAGUUAUCAUCACAAGGACUUUUUAUGGCUUGUAACGUGGUUGGGCUAAGAAGAACAUUGGUUUUUCUGGAUCACAAAAUCCUUGAGUUAAGAGAGUUAUUCACAUUUAUAAUUUAAGCACAAACUCUCUUUAAACAACCAAUCUCACUCAUUCCCAACUUCCCAUUUUCUUUGCAUUGAGUUUUUCUUCUCAUUUUAUCCUUUUUUUUUCCUAUCUUUUUCAUUUUUUUAUGCUUUGCUCAACACAUUAGCUCAAUGCUUAUCUUUUUCUUUUUCAACUUUCCCAACAGCCCCA
RNAcentral lists this long non-coding RNA (398 nucleotides) under Vigna radiata. Its description in RNAcentral is "long non-coding RNA (VRAD_LNC012521)". The record is from RNAcentral. Lineage: Eukaryota; Viridiplantae; Streptophyta; Magnoliopsida; Fabales; Fabaceae.